This 812-nucleotide long non-coding RNA is filed under the name Ananas comosus (pineapple). RNAcentral describes it as "long non-coding RNA (ACOM_LNC039590)". The record is from RNAcentral. Lineage: Eukaryota; Viridiplantae; Streptophyta; Magnoliopsida; Poales; Bromeliaceae.
ACAAUGAUAAUUAAAUUCAUAUUAAUUAUCGUCUUUACUCCACUAUUUAUUAUUUUGACGAUAAUUUAUUAUAUGAUUUCUUAUUGCAUAUAUUCAUCAAAAUUUUGGAAUCAAAUUUGAUCUUUUAGUGAUUAAUUCAUCUUGGUUGUGAGUGUUCGAUAUAAUGAAUGGAUAUUCUCUAAUUGACUAAAAUUUGUCAAAAUUAUUUUCAAUUGUGAGAUUGUCUAAUUUAGGGAGAGUUUGAAAUUGUUUAAAAAAAAAAAGAAAACUCCUAUGUUUAAAAGAUGUGGAAAGUGUUACAUCCUAAAAGGAGUGUGAAAACUACCACCACAUGUAGGAAAGAGCUACCACCCCGGUCGUCCGGUAAGUGUGUGAAGCUACCACAUGGGGAUUAAUUGAAAAGCCGAAAAGGUUGAAAAAAAUAAUAAUAAUUUUAGAAUUUUCGGAGUAAUAAGGUGCUAGUUUGAAAAAGAUGCUCAAAGAGCCACCCCCGGUAUCAUAUUAGUUAAAUCUCUAUUUUGAACAUAUUGCGACAAAUUGGUGUCAAUUUUUGUUGAAUUUCUAAAAAAUCAUUUUUCAUCAACUUACAUCUUGAUGGUUUUGAAUCAUUAAAUUAUUUUUGAUAUUGAAAUUUUGAUGUUUCGAUGUGUUUUGAAAUUUUAUAAUAUCUUAUUUUCAUUAUAAUAAUUUUUGGAGUAAAAGCCUUAAUUAUAUGAAUUUAAUUUAAAUUUGAUGGGUUUUUUAAAGGAUAUUUUUUGAAAAAUUUUUUUUACAUUUUGGUCCUUGUACCGGUACAAGAAACCGUGUUCCGG